ACAUUCAACGGCCGCGGUAUUAUAACCGUGCAAAGGUAGCGUAAUCACCUGCCCCUUAAAUAGGGGCCCGUAUGAAUGGUUAGCUGAGGGCUUAACUGUCCCCUACAGCCAAUCAAUGAAACUGAUCUCCCAGUACAAAAGCUGGGAUACAACCACAAGACGAGAAGACCCUGUGGAGCUUACAAGCCCCCUACUACAUUUAACCGAGGGCCCCCUACCACCAAGGCACACAGCCCAUAAUUAUAGUAUUAAGCUUUAAGUUGGGGCGACUGCGGGGAAAAAGAGACCCCCCGUGAAACUAGGCUAAUACCCUCCGCACGGCCCACAAGCCAAACGACACAGCCGCGCAUUGACCCAGUAAAACUGAUAAUCGAACCAAGUUACCCCAGGGAUAACAGCGCCAUCUCCCUCAAGAGCCCAUAUCGACAGGGAGGCUUACGACCUCGAUGUUGGAUCAGGACACCCCGGUGGCGAAGCCGUUACCAAUGGUUCGUUUGUUCAACGAUUAAUGUCCUACGUGAUCUG
This 525-nucleotide ribosomal RNA is filed under the name Pachydactylus caraculicus. Its description in RNAcentral is "partial large subunit ribosomal RNA". It matches the Rfam family "Bacterial large subunit ribosomal RNA", at positions 1920 to 2607 of the family's 2925-position model. Lineage: Eukaryota; Metazoa; Chordata; Lepidosauria; Squamata; Gekkonidae. The record is from RNAcentral.